ACCUCCCAUCCGUGUCUAUUAUACCCUGUUGCUUCSGCGGGCCCGCCGCUUGUCGGCCGCCGGGGGGGCGCCUUUGCCCCCCGGGCCCGUGCCCSCCGGAGACCCCAACACGAACACUGUCUGAAAGCGUGCAGUCUGAGUUGAUUGAAUGCAAUCAGUUAAAACUUUCAACAAUGGAUCUCUUGGUUCCGGCAUCSAUGAAGAACGCAGCGAAAUGCGAUAACUAAUGUGAAUUGCAGAAUUCAGUGAAUCAUCGAGUCUUUGAACGCACAUUGCGCCCCCUGGUAUUCCGGGGGGCAUGCCUGUCCGAGCGUCAUUGCUGCCCUCAAGCCCGGCUUGUGUGUUGGGUCGCCGUCCCCCUCUCCGGGGGGACGGGCCCGAAAGGCAGCGGCGGCACCGCGUCCGAUCCUCGAGCGUAUGGGGCUUUGUCACAUGCUCUGUAGGAUUGGCCGGCGCCUGCCGACGUUUUCCAACCAUUUUUUCCAGGUUGACCUCGGAUCAGGUAGGGAUACCCGCUGAACUUAAGCAUAUCAAUAAGGCGGGAGGAACC
RNAcentral lists this ribosomal RNA (550 nucleotides) under Aspergillus sp. NOF6. RNAcentral's name for it is "eukaryotic LSU rRNA". The stretch from base 163 to 316 matches the Rfam family "5.8S ribosomal RNA". The record is from RNAcentral. Lineage: Eukaryota; Fungi; Ascomycota; Eurotiomycetes; Eurotiales; Aspergillaceae.